This 253-nucleotide ribosomal RNA is filed under the name uncultured bacterium. RNAcentral's name for it is "partial 16S ribosomal RNA". It matches the Rfam family "Bacterial small subunit ribosomal RNA", at positions 524 to 776 of the family's 1533-position model. The record is from RNAcentral.
UACGGAGGGUGCAAGCGUUAUCCGGAUUCACUGGGUUUAAAGGGUGCGUAGGUGGGCAGGUAAGUCAGUGGUGAAAUCUCCGGGCUUAACCCGGAAACUGCCAUUGAUACUAUCUGUCUUGAAUACCGUGGAGGUGAGCGGAAUAUGUCAUGUAGCGGUGAAAUGCUUAGAUAUGACAUAGAACACCAAUUGCGAAGGCAGCUCACUACGCGAAUAUUGACACUGAGGCACGAAAGCGUGGGGAGCAAACAGG